Molecule: unclassified non-coding RNA, 702 nt
Filed under: Hevea brasiliensis (rubber tree)
Lineage: Eukaryota; Viridiplantae; Streptophyta; Magnoliopsida; Malpighiales; Euphorbiaceae
Source: RNAcentral
AACAGCUCUCCCUUAUUCACAAAAAUUGACCCUGGGUGGAGAUUUUCAUGAGCUUUUACAAUGCUCUUCUCAAUGCCAUCUACAAUAACGUCGAAUGAUUGACGCACAAAUCCAAGAGAUGUCACAAUAUACACAACGUAUUGGAGAUAGCCCCCUGGACCCGCAUGGGUGUGAAUACCACUGAUAGCAACAUUCUUUUCAGUGUAGAGAUCCCCAUACCUGGCCCUCAAUCGUUACUUUAAUUUUCACAAGUUGUGAGGCCAUACAAGCAUCCAAAUUGACGAAUACUACCCGGUUCCCCUGUGGCUCCGCGACGAUAAAAGUCCGAGCCCGCAACCUAAAGUGAAUCCCAGAAGCAAUCUGAUCAGUGUUAGCAUAACCCAUCAUAUUAACAUCAGCAGCAGGUCCUGUAAUAUCAUAGCUCCCAAGCCCAAUCAAAUAUUUGGAUUCCGAGAAUACUACUCCACUAUUCAGCAGCAAGAGCACUAGAGAAACCCACGAACAAACACGAAGACCAAAUGACGAAUACAACUCCAUCUUCACUCAACCAACAGGAAACAAGCAAAAGAAGCUCAACCCUUUCUUCUCAUUUCCCUUUCCACGAAACCAGCUGGGUUUGUGCUGAACCCUGAACAGAUGAUGAUUAUAAAUAAUGAGAAGGAGAAGUGGAUAUUUGAGAGAGAGCUCACCUACGGUUCUCAA